CACCUACGGGACGCAGCAGUGGGGAAUAUUGCACAAUGGGGGGAACCCUGAUGCAGCGACGCCGCGUGAGUGAAGAAGUAUUUCGGCAUGUAAAGCUCUAUCAGCAGGGAAGAAAAUGACGGUACCUGACUAAGAAGCCCCGGCUAACUACGUGCCAGCAGCCGCGGUAAUACGUAGGGGGCAAGCGUUAUCCGGAUUUACUGGGUGUAAAGGGAGCGCAGACGGCUGUGCAAGUCUGGAGUGAAAGGCGG
Molecule: ribosomal RNA, 251 nt
Filed under: uncultured bacterium
Lineage: Bacteria
Description: partial 16S ribosomal RNA
Rfam family: Bacterial small subunit ribosomal RNA
Source: RNAcentral